UGGGCUUGACAUCCCACGAACCUGCCUGAAAGGGCGGGGUGCCCGCAAGGGAGCGUGGAGACAGGUGGUGCAUGGCUGUCGUCAGCUCGUGUCGUGAGAUGUUGGGUUAAGUCCCGCAACGAGCGCAACCCUCACCCCUAGUUGCCACCGGGUAAUGCCGAGCACUCGAGGGGAACUGCCAGCGUCAAGCUGGAGGAAGGCGGGGAUGACGUCAAGUCAUCAUGCCCCUUACGCCCUGGGCUACACACGUGCUACAAUGGCCAGUACAAAGGGAUGCGAGACCGUAAGGUGGAGCUAAUCCCAAAAAGCUGGUCUAAGUUCAGAUUGCAGUCUGCAACUCGACUGCAUGAAGGAGGAAUCGCUAGUAAUCGCGCAUCAGCACGGCGCGGUGAAUACGUUCCCGGGCCUUGUACACACCGCCCGUCACACCACGAAAGUUGGCUGUACUCGAAGUCGCUGAG
RNAcentral lists this ribosomal RNA (461 nucleotides) under uncultured Methylomirabilota bacterium. RNAcentral describes it as "bacterial SSU rRNA". It matches the Rfam family "Bacterial small subunit ribosomal RNA", at positions 976 to 1434 of the family's 1533-position model. Lineage: Bacteria; Methylomirabilota (SeqCode). The record is from RNAcentral.